GGACACGCGCGGCAGCCGGCGCGGGGCGGCGGCUCCGGCGCAUGCGCGAGGGCGGGGCGGGGCGGGGGGGCGGCCACGCGGGGAGUGCGCCUGCGCCCGCCAAGCGUCACGAGGGGCGGUGACCAAACCCACGGCAGAGCUGGCAUCUCCCCAUGGCAAAAUGUGACGUCUUUGUUCAGCCUCCACCCUGCCCUGGCUUUAAACUGAGGUAAUGACUGGAAUCUGAAGCAGCUGACAAAUGAACACAUCCUGAGAUGGCAGUGGUGGCUUCUGUCAGCUGAGUACAGCAGAUGGCCAGCAUCAGCAGUGUCUUACAGUGAGGUGUGAUGUGUUGUUAAAAUUUAGAUGGUGAUUUUUAGAGAAAAAUAAAAUUUCUCUCAUUUAAAUAAUGGUUUAUAAU
RNAcentral lists this long non-coding RNA (400 nucleotides) under Parus major (Great Tit). RNAcentral describes it as "lncRNA (ENSPMJG00000007431.1)". The record is from RNAcentral. Lineage: Eukaryota; Metazoa; Chordata; Aves; Passeriformes; Paridae.